Molecule: ribosomal RNA, 411 nt
Filed under: uncultured bacterium
Lineage: Bacteria
Description: bacterial SSU rRNA
Rfam family: Bacterial small subunit ribosomal RNA
Source: RNAcentral
UCGAGGAUCUUCGGCAAUGGGCGCAAGCCUGACCGAGCGACGCCGCGUGUGCGAUGAAGGCCUUCGGGUUGUAAAGCACUGUCGAGGGGGAGAAAAGCCGCAAGGCGUGAUCGACCCCUGGAGGAAGCACGGGCUAAGUUCGUGCCAGCAGCCGCGGUAAGACGAACCGUGCGAACGUUGUUCGGAAUCACUGGGCUUAAAGGGCGCGUAGGCGGGCCAGCAAGUCAGGGGUGAAAUCCCACGGCUCAACCGUGGAAGUGCCUUUGAUACUGCCGGCCUCGAGGGAGGUAGGGGCGUGCGGAACUUCCGGUGGAGCGGUGAAAUGCGUAGAUAUCGGAAGGAACACCGGUGGCGAAAGCGGCGCGCUGGACCUCUUCUGACGCUGAGGCGCGAAAGCCAGGGGAGCAAACG